UGCACAUGCUGUGAGCUCGAUGAGUAGGGCGGGACACGUGGUAUCCUGUCUGAAUAUGGGGGGACCAUCCUCCAAGGCUAAAUACUCCUGACUGACCGAUAGUGAACCAGUACCGUGAGGGAAAGGCGAAAAGAACCCCGGCGAGGGGAGUGAAAAAGAACCUGAAACCGUGUACGUACAAGCAGUGGGAGCACGCUUAGGCGUGUGACUGCGUACCUUUUGUAUAAUGGGUCAGCGACUUAUAUUCUGUAGCAAGGUUAACCGAAUAGGGGAGCCGAAGGGAAACCGAGUCUUAACUGGGCGUUAAGUUGCAGGGUAUAGACCCGAAACCCGGUGAUCUAGCCAUGGGCAGGUUGAAGGUUGGGUAACACUAACUGGAGGACCGAACCGACUAAUGUUGAAAAAUUAGCGGAUGACUUGUGGCUGGGGGUGAAAGGCCAAUCAAACCGGGAGAUAGCUGGUUCUC
RNAcentral lists this ribosomal RNA (466 nucleotides) under Escherichia coli. RNAcentral's name for it is "partial 23S ribosomal RNA". It matches the Rfam family "Bacterial large subunit ribosomal RNA", at positions 389 to 857 of the family's 2925-position model. The record is from RNAcentral. Lineage: Bacteria; Pseudomonadati; Pseudomonadota; Gammaproteobacteria; Enterobacterales; Enterobacteriaceae.